This 267-nucleotide ribosomal RNA is filed under the name uncultured bacterium. Its description in RNAcentral is "partial 16S ribosomal RNA". It matches the Rfam family "Bacterial small subunit ribosomal RNA", at positions 793 to 1055 of the family's 1533-position model. The record is from RNAcentral.
GUCCCGGCUGUAAACGGUGCACGUUUGCUGUAAAAGGAAUCGACCCCUUUUGUGGCGUAGCUAACGCGUUAAACGUGCCGCCUGGGAAGUACGGUCGCAAGAUUAAAACUCAAAGAAAUUGACGGGGGCCUGCACAAGCGGUGGAGUAUGUGGCUCAAUUCGAUGCAACGCGAAGAACCUUACCUGGCCUUGACAUGUACAUAGUAGAAGGGUGAAAGCCUGACGAGCUCGCAAGAGCAGGGUACACAGGUGCUGCAUGGCUGUCGU